AGUGAACGCUGGCGGUAGGCCUAACACAUGCAAGUCGAACGGCAGCACAGGAGAGCUUGCUCUCUGGGUGGCGAGUGGCGGACGGGUGAGGAAUACAUCGGAAUCUGCCCAGUCGUGGGGGAUAACGUAGGGAAACUUACGCUAAUACCGCAUACGACCUUCGGGUGAAAGAGGGGGAUCGCAAGACCUCUCGCGAUUGGAUGAGCCGAUGUCGGAUUAGCUAGUUGGCGGGGUAAUGGCCCACCAAGGCGACGAUCCGUAGCUGGUCUGAGAGGAUGAUCAGCCACACUGGAACUGGGACACGGUCCAGACUCCUACGGGAGGCAGCAGUGGGGAAUAUUGGACAAAGGGCGCAAGCCUGAUCCAGCCAUACCGCGUGGGUGAAGAAGGCCUUCGGGUUGUAAAGCCCUUUUGUUGGGAAAGAAAUCUUUCAGGCUAAUACCCUGGGAGGAUGACGGUACCCAAAGAAUAAGCACCGGCUAACUUCGUG
RNAcentral lists this ribosomal RNA (490 nucleotides) under uncultured bacterium. RNAcentral describes it as "partial 16S ribosomal RNA". It matches the Rfam family "Bacterial small subunit ribosomal RNA", at positions 29 to 507 of the family's 1533-position model. The record is from RNAcentral.